AGAGUUUGAUCCUGGCUCAGGACAACGGCUGGCGGCGUGCCUAACACAUGCAAGUCGAGCGGAGUAAAUACUAUACGGUAUUUACUUAGCGGCGACGGGUGAGUAACACGUGGACAAUCUACCCUAUAGACCGGGGAUAACACACCGAAAAGGGGUGCUAAUACCGGAUAAUGUCACGAGGUGGCAUCAUCUUGUGAAGAAAGGAGAAAUCCGCUAAAGGAAGAGUCCGCGGCCCAUUAGCUAGUUGGUGAGGUAAAGGCCCACCAAGGCAACGAUGGGUAGCCGGCCUGAGAGGGUGAACGGCCACACUGGAACUGAGAGACGGUCCAGACUCCUACGGGAGGCAGCAGUGGGGAAUAUUGCGCAAUGGGGGGAACCCUGACGCAGCAACGCCGCGUGAGCGAAGAAGGCCUUCGGGUCGUAAAGCUCAAUAGUAUGGGAAGAAAGAAUGACGGUACCAUACGAAAGCCCCGGCUAACUACGUG
RNAcentral lists this ribosomal RNA (485 nucleotides) under uncultured Thermoanaerobacterium sp. RNAcentral's name for it is "bacterial SSU rRNA". It matches the Rfam family "Bacterial small subunit ribosomal RNA", at positions 8 to 507 of the family's 1533-position model. Lineage: Bacteria; Bacillati; Bacillota; Clostridia; Thermoanaerobacterales; Thermoanaerobacteraceae. The record is from RNAcentral.